GCCUUCGUGGUGUAGCGGUCAGCACGCUCGACGCGUAUUCGAGAGGUCCGUGGUUCGAGUCCCGGCGAGGGCA
This 73-nucleotide transfer RNA is filed under the name Stegodyphus dumicola. RNAcentral's name for it is "tRNA-Thr". It matches the Rfam family "tRNA". From Rfam's summary of the family: Transfer RNA (tRNA) molecules are approximately 80 nucleotides in length. Their secondary structure includes four short double-helical elements and three loops (D, anti-codon, and T loops). Further hydrogen bonds mediate the characteristic L-shaped molecular structure. tRNAs have two regions of fundamental functional importance: the anti-codon, which is responsible for specific mRNA codon recognition, and the 3' end, to which the tRNAs corresponding amino acid is attached (by aminoacyl-tRNA synthetases). tRNAs cope with the degeneracy of the genetic code in two manners: having more than one tRNA (with a specific anti-codon) for a particular amino acid; and 'wobble' base-pairing, i.e. permitting non-standard base-pairing at the 3rd anti-codon position. Lineage: Eukaryota; Metazoa; Arthropoda; Arachnida; Araneae; Eresidae. The record is from RNAcentral. RNAcentral also lists the same sequence under 1 other name.